This 351-nucleotide ribosomal RNA is filed under the name Pirateolea piscator. RNAcentral's name for it is "partial 12S small subunit ribosomal RNA". The record is from RNAcentral. Lineage: Eukaryota; Metazoa; Arthropoda; Insecta; Lepidoptera; Noctuidae.
AAAAUUUAAAUUUAAAAUACUAAAAUAGUAGAUAAAUAUUUAUUGAAACUUAAAUAAUUUGGCGGUAUUUUAGUUCAUUUAGAGGAAUCUGUUUAAUAAUUGAUAUUCCACGAAUAAAUUUACUUAAUUUAUAAUUUUGUAUAUCGUUGUUGUAAAAAUAUUUUUUAAAAAAAUUAAUAUUUAAAAAUUAAUAAUUAAAAUUAAAUCAGAUCAAGAUGCAGAUUAUAAUUAAGAAUAUAAUGGAUUACAAUAAAUUUAUUUAAAUGGAUUUUAAUUUGUAAAAAUUAAGUGAAGGUGGAUUUAAAUGUAAUUUUAUUUAAUUUAAUAAAAUGAUUAAAAAUUAAAAUAUGU